GCCGGGCGUGGUGGCUCACGCCUGUAAUCCCAGCACUUUGGGAGGCUGAGGCAGGUGGAUCGCCUGAGGUCAGGAGUUCAAGACCAGCCUGACCAACGAGAUGAAACCCUGUCUCUA
This is an unclassified non-coding RNA of Callithrix jacchus (white-tufted-ear marmoset), 117 nucleotides long. It matches the Rfam family "Metazoan signal recognition particle RNA". From Rfam's summary of the family: The signal recognition particle (SRP) is a universally conserved ribonucleoprotein. It is involved in the co-translational targeting of proteins to membranes. The record is from Ensembl. Lineage: Eukaryota; Metazoa; Chordata; Mammalia; Primates; Cebidae.